This 250-nucleotide unclassified non-coding RNA is filed under the name plant metagenome. Its description in RNAcentral is "partial contains small subunit ribosomal RNA, internal transcribed spacer 1, and 5.8S ribosomal RNA". The record is from RNAcentral.
GUAGGUGAACCUGCGGAAGGAUCAUUACCUGGCCUUGGGCCGCUCGCGGGAGCUAGUCGCUUGCGACGACGCUGCCGAGGGUGCUUAGCCCUUGACUUAUCACCUUGACUAUGUGCACCUUUUGUUGUUUCCUCGGCAGGUCAUCUGCCGCCAGGAACCCUCUAAACCUUUUUGCAAACAGCAUCCAAACUUCUGAAAACAAACCAAAUUAUUUACAACUUUUAACAAUGGAUCUCUUGGUUCUGGCAUC